RNAcentral lists this long non-coding RNA (909 nucleotides) under Elaeis guineensis (African oil palm). RNAcentral describes it as "long non-coding RNA (EGUI_LNC022736)". Lineage: Eukaryota; Viridiplantae; Streptophyta; Magnoliopsida; Arecales; Arecaceae. The record is from RNAcentral.
UCCAGACCUCUAGUUACUUGAAAAGAAACUAAUUUUAUAGUUCCACUCUAUAUGUUGCCAUUCCUAUAUCUUCCACCAAAAUCUUUACAUGCUUGGGAAUCAGUUUCUGUGUUAAUAUGGUCCUUCUUUAGAAGACUACUAAAAUAUUCAUGGUAUACACCACAUCUUACCCAAAGAAAAGGAGAAAAAAAAAAAAACAUAGGGUAAGCAACAGGCUUCAUAUCACGGCCAAUGGAAAUCAUAUAUUUGAUUCUUAGUAAUUAGCAGGCGAUCAACAAAUUACAUGAUCUAAGGGUUGGUAUAAGGUUACACUAUAGCUGUUUUGAGAACAAUUAAUCUCCUGGUGUCAACACACAAGUGGAUUUGAUAAGCCUAGAUCCCAUCUAGAAUGUACCCUUGUCCACUUUUCAAAAAAUAAGACCACUAGGAGACUAUAGUUUCUAAAAAUGAUAGUAGGAAUAUAGUGUAGUCAAGCAUGAAUUUCAUAAAACUUGACUUAUUUUCAUAUGUGUAUAUAUAUAUAUAUAUAUAAGAGAGAGAGAGAGAGAGAGAGAGAGAGAGAGAGAGAGAGGANNNNNNNNNNNNNNNNNNNNGUAUAUAUAUAUAUAUAUAUAGAGAGAGAGAGAGAGAGAGAGAGAGAAGAGGGGGAUUCAAUAUUCGGGCCCUACAAGUUGGCUCUAAUCCUUGACCAAAUAAAACAAGAUUAAACUUGUCAGAUGGCUUGCUUGGAUUUGAAUUGAAUCAAAGAACCAAAGUAAAAUUGCCUCAAAUAUUAGUUAAGGUUAUUAAGUCCGGGAAGAAAUAAUAUAAACUAGUUUUUAUUACCAUAGACUAUGAUUUAGAUAUAUGUUUUUAAUCUCAAAAUUUGCAAUUAAGUAAGUUGAAAUAUUUCUGCAAAUAAACAGGUAG